CGAUAUCUGUUUCUUUUUUUAAUUUUAUUUGAAAAACAUUGAUCUCGAUAUGUUUGGCAAAAUUCUUAGCAAAACACAGUUUCCCGAAAAAAAAAUAUAACGCUGGACGGAAUGGUGUUGUAAGCUUUCCCCUAUAUAAUGUUGCACGUUUCAAAUCAUAGAUGGCGCUUGAUUUAAAAUAAAGCCGUUUUAUGGAAAAUUAUCUAUGCGCGGAAGUUUCGUCAAGAUGGCCAAUUGGCAUACAAAAAGAAGGAUCGAGACUCUGAUCCCAGCAGGCUUGAAGAUUCUCGGCCAUUUCGUUUGCGGAGCGGUCGGUGAGCAGAACGCAUCGAAGUAGUGUUCCUCCAAAUUUUCUGAAGUGGUAGCUUAUCAGUUUCGAAUAAGUGAAUUUUAUUUGGUAUAAAGUUAAAAGGUUGUACGUUCUGCCUAGAUCGAAGUUUUUGAAGUUUGAAGUGAGCCUGUUCAACAGGCGGCGAGUCUGGGGCGGAAAGCCGUUUUUUGUAUUAGCUGGUGCGAAAGCGAGCGAGUAACGAGGUGCUGAGGUCGAGAGCCGGUACUGUGGUUUCCACGUGAGCGACGAAAAUCCGCAACGAACGGACGGGAGCUAAACCGAACGUCCGACCGACGCGCGGCGUGGCCGUCGUGUCCCGUAGCGUCCGUCACCAUACGCUACGUUUCCGGAAAUAUUUCUACCGAUCGCACGUGUCGCCAGUCUAUCGUUUUGGAACCAUCUCGCCGGUGCGCCGAUGCACUAAACCCAGCCCAGCAACAUUUCGCAGCCAGUUCAUCAUCCCACAGCAUCAUGAACCCUGCGCGCAGGUACGUGGUUAGCUUAGUGUUUGGCCAUUCACUAUAAGCGUACGCUCCGUUUGAGUGUGUCCCACAUGAACCCGGGUAGAAAGGAGAGAGAGGAUUUGAUAGAGGGAGAGAAUAGGAUAGGAAAAUGAGGAUUUCUCGAGAAUAAAAUUUGUAAAUCUUGUUUGAAGAUCUUUUACGUUUCUUUAUCACCUUACCUUUGCUCGCGAAGCGGUUUUUUGAGGUUUUCUUGCUUUCCUAAAGUUUCCGUAUUUCGAAACCAGCAUCUCCAAUCCUGCAAUUCCCCGGUCGUGAUAUUUAUAUAGAUACAAUCUAGAUAAUUCCCCAUCGAACCGUUUUUGCUUGAAUCGAGUUGGCAUCAUUUCCCGCUUAAGCAACCGUACGAAGCUUCCUAGACCAUAGAGUCCAUGCAAAAUUCCUAGUCGGGCAAUUCAACAGACAGGUGGUCUCUCCUUGGAGAGUGGCGCAUAAGCCACCUCGUUUGCCAAACCUAUCGAGUCGGGUCUACGCACGGUUACAUUUGGCGCCCAACGAAAAUAACCCAAUGUUUAAACACUUUUUAUUUGAAUUCUUAAUAUACAUCAUCUUAAAUAUUAUCGAUUUUAUGCACUACGUUUUGUUCUUCUCUUCCUUUCUUUUUAUACGUUAUUUUUUUUUUUUAAUUACAUUUUUUUACUCAUAAGUUUUUCCUAGAAUUUUAAACAUAAUUGAAUUGAAUUUUUCACUGAAGUCUAUUUUGGAAUUUAAAUUGCUAGGUUUAGGUAAUUUGUACAUAUAUUCUUUUUAUAUUAGAUUAAGUUUGAAUUUCUUCUUAUUAUUUUUUUUCUUUGAAUUUUUUUUUGUGUGCUGAAUUGGAAUCGCUGUUGGAAUUGAUUGAACUAGCUGUAUCUAUCGUUUUGAAUUUUUAUUA
Long non-coding RNA from Aedes albopictus (Asian tiger mosquito), 1726 nucleotides. RefSeq lists it as uncharacterized. The transcript is spliced from 3 exons. The record is from RefSeq and is a predicted model, not a curated record. Lineage: Eukaryota; Metazoa; Arthropoda; Insecta; Diptera; Culicidae.